RNAcentral lists this ribosomal RNA (1344 nucleotides) under uncultured bacterium. Its description in RNAcentral is "16S ribosomal RNA". It matches the Rfam family "Bacterial small subunit ribosomal RNA", at positions 28 to 1378 of the family's 1533-position model. The record is from RNAcentral.
GACGAACGCUUGCGGCGUGCUUAACACAUGCAAGUCGAACGGAAAGGCCCUGCUUUUGUGGGGUGCUCGAGUGGCGAACGGGUGAGUAACACGUGAGUAACCUGCCCUUGACUUUGGGAUAACUUCAGGAAACUGGGGCUAAUACCGGAUAGGAGCUCCUGCUGCAUGGUGGGGGUUGGAAAGUUUCGGCGGUUGGGGAUGGACUCGCGGCUUAUCAGCUUGUUGGUGGGGUAGUGGCUUACCAAGGCUUUGACGGGUAGCCGGCCUGAGAGGGUGACCGGCCACAUUGGGACUGAGAUACGGCCCAGACUCCUACAGGAGGCAGCAGUGGGGAAUAUUGCUCAAUGGGCGGAAGCCUGAUGCAGCUACGCCGCGUGCGGGAUGACGGCCUUCGGGUUGUAAACCGCUUUCGCCUGUGACGAAGCGUGAGUGACGGUAAUGGGUAAAGAAGCACCGGGUAACUACGUGCCACCACCCGCGUUGAUACGUAUGGUGCGAGCGUUGUCCGGAUUUAUUGGGCGUAAAGGGCUUCGUAGGUGGUUGAUCGCGUCGGAAGUGUAAUCUGGGGGUUAAACCCUGAGCGUGCUUUCGAUACGGGUUGACUUGAGGAAGGUAGGGGAGAAUGGAAUUCCUGGUGGAGCGGUGGAAUGCGCAGAUAUCAGGAGGAACACCAGUGGCGAAGGCGGUUCUCUGGGCCUUUCCUGACGCUGAGGAGCGAAAGCGUGGGGAGCGAACAGGCUUAGAUACCCUGGUAGUCCACGCUGUAAACGGUGGGUACUAGGUGUGGGGUCCAUUCCACGGGUUCCGUGCCGUAGCUAACGCUUUAAGUACCCCGCCUGGGGAGUACGGCCGCAAGGCUAAAACUCAAAGGAAUUGACGGGGCCCCGCACAAGCGGCGGAGCAUGCGGAUUAAUUCGAUGCAACGCGUAGAACCUUACCUGGGUUUGACAUGGAUCGGGAGUGCUCAGAGAUGGGUGUGCCUCCUUUGGGGUCGGUUCACAGGUGGUGCAUGGCUGUCGUCAGCUCGUGUCGUGAGAUGUUGGGUUAAGUCCCGCAACGAGCGCAACCCUUGUUCACUGUUGCCAGCACGUUAUGGUGGGGACUCAGUGGAGACCGCCGGGGUCAACUCGGAGGAAGGUGGGGAUGACGUCAAGUCAUCAUGCCCCUUAUGUCCAGGGCUUCACGCAUGCUACAAUGGCUGGUACAGAGAGUGGCGAGCCUGUGAGGGUGAGCGAAUCUCGGAAAGCCGGUCUCAGUUCGGAUUGGGGUCUGCAACUCGACCUCAUGAAGUCGGAGUCGUUAGUAAUCGCAGAUCAGCAACGCUGCGGUGAAUACGUUCCCGGG